Mytilus californianus (California mussel) is the source of this 1739-nucleotide long non-coding RNA. RefSeq lists it as uncharacterized. The transcript is spliced from 3 exons. The record is from RefSeq and is a predicted model, not a curated record. NCBI's taxonomy places the organism in Eukaryota, Metazoa, Mollusca, Bivalvia, Mytilida, Mytilidae.
GAUGUUAAGGCAAUUUCGAUAAGAUUUUGUCAGGGGCAGAUAACCCCGUAAGGACCUCAUUAUGUAUUCAUAUAUUCAUUAAUGGCGAAGAUUCCGUAAGCUGCGUCUGUCGAUGAAACUGUUAUGAAAUCAAAUUACAUACAUGCCUGUUAACUAAAAACGGGUAGCCAUAUGAUGUAAUUUGUUUAUCGAAACACGAAUAUUUUAUGUUUGUGCUUUAAUUAUUAUGGUUAACAGUUGCAAUAGCUGUUUUUGUUGACGAGAUUGUCGGCUUGUGGACCCCGCCUCCUUUUGCAGAUUAACCAAUCAGUAGACGAUCGCCGUCAAGUAGAUGUUUGUAGUUUGCAGAAUGGAAAGAACCUUGCAGCGAAAAUUAUUUUCACUUCUAUGUGAAAAUCUAACCAGAAAACUCCCCUGUCAAUUACAAGAUACAGUAUGCCAUUCCAGCUUUGAUGAAAUAAAGUAAUGGUUUGAUUUGGAGAGCUUUAUUAUUAUCAUGAUUAUAGACAGGGAUGAUGACCUGCAGUAGAAAGUUCCUUAUAACUCAUCAUUGCCAUUACGGAAGAUCUGAUUGUAAUUUGUUUAGAAAGCCACCAAAUAUGUCCAUGAAAAGUAGAAAAAAGACAGCAAUUCUAUAUAAUGUACUUAUAAGUACUAAGCAGAAGCAUUGACUGUUUCAAGACCAAAUGAAUUGGAAUUUAGUGUUUUGAUGCUGAGAGACAGAGGAAAAUUAACUACACAAUUUAGCUUCUUUUUCAUCAUCAUGUAUCACUGAAGUUGAUGUUUACCAUCUUAAAGAGCUUUUACCUCAGUUAAAAUGAAUUCUAAAUACGGACAUUUUGGAGAUUUGUGAAUUUUCUUACAAUUGGAGUUUCAAAAAAGGAUUUCAUUUAACAAAAUUAUAUUUCAUGGAUGUAAUUUGUCGUUUCUUUCAUGAAAUAUUUGAAAAAUCUGCAAUACGUUUGUAUCUGACCAAGUGAGAGAUCUACAAAUAGACAUAUGAUAUUCAGUUGAACUGUAAACAUGGUAAAGAAGGAGAUAUUCAUUUAUAAGACUUAUAUGAGUGUUUUGUUAUUUUUAUGGCAAUUACGGGGAAAAAAUAGUAAUUGAUUUAAACAUUAAUCCUAUCUAGAUAUACAUGAGAUAUACUAUCAUAUACAUGUAGGCAUACAAUUCACUUAUGCACCACUAAGGCCAAGUAAAUUUAAUUAGUAGAUUUUCAUCCAAAUUUUUGAAAAAAAUGGGGUGGGUGGGAGGAUUUUAUUUUUUAUUUUUUAUUAGAUAUGAAACGCUCUUGUGACGUGUUCUUCAUAUAUGCAAGUGUAAUAAUAAGGUUCUAUCAUGUAUAUACAUGUAUAACGAAUCAAACAUACAAAGAAAUGCAAAAACCAAAAUUUGAAACAGGAUGUUAUUAAUGAAACGAAAUUAUCGACAGUUACCGGUAACGAAAAUGAACAAAAAUCUGGAAAUCGUAAAUUUUUCAAAAUAAAAAAAAAUUGGGGCGGAACGAUUUCAGAGGGGCGGGCGGGGAUGAAAAUCUAUCAAUUAAUUUUAAUUGGCCUAAUGGAGUUACAUGUAAUUAUAAAACUAAGAAUAUGACAUAUGAUUGCCAAUAAAUUAACAACUCUUCAUCAGAGAACAAAUAGUCAUAUUAUAUAUUGUCCACCAGCAUGACCAGAGAACAAGAAGAUCAUAUUAUAUCAUGAUUUAUAUUUCAAUUUCAUUUCAUUUCAUAACAG